RNAcentral lists this ribosomal RNA (364 nucleotides) under uncultured bacterium. RNAcentral's name for it is "bacterial SSU rRNA". It matches the Rfam family "Bacterial small subunit ribosomal RNA", at positions 29 to 363 of the family's 1533-position model. The record is from RNAcentral.
AAUCAACGCUGGCGGCGUGCCUCAGACAUGCAAGUCGAACGCGAAAGUUCCCUUCGGGGGAGUAAGUAGAGUGGCGUCCGGGUGAGUAACACGUAGGUAAUCUACCUUUGGGUGGGGAAUAACAACCGGAAACGGUUGCUAAUACCGCAUAAUGCAGCGGCACCACAUGGUGACAGUUGUUAAAGCGGGGGAUCGCAAGACCUCGCGCCUAAAGAGGAGCCUACGGCGGAUUAGCUAGUUGGAGGGUAACGGGCCGUACCAAGGCAACGAUCCGUAGCCGGCCUCGAGAGGGCGGGUCGGGCCGACACUGGGACGUGAGACACGGCCCGACGACUCCUACCGGGAGGGCGAGCAGUGGGGAAGU